This is a long non-coding RNA of Tachysurus fulvidraco (yellow catfish), 779 nucleotides long. RefSeq lists it as uncharacterized. NCBI's taxonomy places the organism in Eukaryota, Metazoa, Chordata, Actinopteri, Siluriformes, Bagridae. The transcript has 2 exons. The record is from RefSeq and is a predicted model, not a curated record.
ACGAAGGAAGUACAACCUCUGCUGAGCCUUUUUCACAACGGAGUCAAUGUGAAUGUCCCACUUCAGGUCCUGGGAGAUUGUGGUUCCCAGGAUUCUGAAUGACUCCACUGCUGUGACAAUGCUGCAUGAUGGUUAGUGGUAAGCGGGGAGCUCCAAGGCUCAGGACCGUCGCAUGGAUAUAGAUGGAUGUAUAGUAAAUGGAAGGAAAGAGGAUUUCAUGUGCGGAAAGAAGACAUCUGCCUCAUUCUGACAACUGUUUCACUCCAUUAGCUGAGAUUCACAGUGCCUUCAAAGGCUGAUAUAAAGACUGAUAUAAAGACUGAUAUAAAGGCUGAUAUAAAGACUGAUAUAAAGACUGAUAUAAAGAAUGAUCUUACUCUUUCAUUCUUUAAUCCCUUCUUGUUAAGCUUUUAGUGCCAUAGAGCUGCUUCACACUAAUGUCUGUACUGACUGCCUUCUGAUGUAACUUUAGUCUUUUGUGGAUUCUUUCUGUCAUUUAAAUGUCAUGUAAAAGUUUAUUUUAAAUGAAUGCGUUCCUUUUUAAACUAUACACUUUAAAUACACACAAAAAAUCAGACUUAAAUGAAUCUGACUCUUUAAAUCUACACUUGUCCUUUAAAUCCUUUUGACACUGUAAGAUUUACUGCAUAUUGUGAUGAAUGGUGUUAGUGGGUAAAGAAGUGAGAACAGAAAUCAUUCGUACUGACGUUCAAAAGAUGAAUCAGUUUGUGAAAGCAACAUUGAAAUGCAAAUGAAUAAAGAUGGUCUUACCUCGACAA